GACGAAGCGUGCGAACGUUAUUCGGAAUCACUGGGCUUAAAGGGCGCGUAGGCGGGUUCGCAAGUCUGUGGUGAAAGCCCCCGGCUUAACCGGGGAAGGGCCGUGGAUACUGCGAAUCUUGAGGAGGGUAGGGGCAUCUGGAACGGUCGGUGGAGCGGUGAAAUGCGUUGAUAUCGACCGGAACUCCGGUGGCGAAGGCGAGGUGCUGGACCCUUUCUGACGCUGAGGCGCGAAAGCCAGGGGAGCAAACGGG
This 253-nucleotide ribosomal RNA is filed under the name uncultured bacterium. Its description in RNAcentral is "partial 16S ribosomal RNA". It matches the Rfam family "Bacterial small subunit ribosomal RNA", at positions 524 to 776 of the family's 1533-position model. The record is from RNAcentral.